GUAAAAGAACACAUUCAGAUGUGGCCAUUAUUUAUUUUUGAUGCUCAGAAUAUAACAGAGACAGUACAUUGAUUCACAGAUCAUGAAACAUUAAGAAAGAUUCACUAGUGUUACUGAGGCAAAUUUUAGAGCUAAAUAUGCAAACUCUACUGAGAAUGGAUCAGACUUUAUAAUCACUUAUAUGUUAGGCUUCUGUCUUUAAGUUGGCGUCUUUGGCCCCCAAUCUAUUUUCAUUAGGUUCUUCACGCCCCCUUCAGCUGCCUCCAUAUCUUUGUUUCGGUCCUGUUCCUGUUCAAAUAUUCAGGUUCAAAUAAUUAUCAGUACUUCAUUACUGCAAUAUAUAAACACUCAGAAUUCUAGCUAAAUUUUUCUUAAAACCAAGUUUUAAACCUGAGUGUUCACGUGAUGCUGGUGUCCUGCAGCAGGAGCUUUUGAAGCAUGAUGAUCUGAAACAAGCAAUAUCCAAAUAUUGUUCUUAAUUUUAUGCAGUGUUCACCUUCUCAAUAUUAUCAGCUUCAAGAAUUAUUGUCAUGUGAGAAGAAUUUUAGUUGUACAAAAUGUUCCUUUUCAAAAAAUCAGAAGGACAAUUUUUUACAAAGACAAAUGUUCUCAAGCUAACAUUGUUUUUACAUGAGGGCAAUCCACAAAUAAUUUAGCCAUGGUUCUCAGAUAAACAAUUGGAAAUAUGGAAAAACUCAUCUAGCUUGAACUAUAUACUAUGUUUUCCUCAUUGUGGCGUGUGUGUUUAAAUACAACGAAGAAAGCUUUACUGUCUUACCCAGAUCAACAUGUGCAGAAGAGUCCCUCAAAGCAUGGAAGACUAAAAGAAGGCACAACAGUAAACUUGCGAGCUUGACAAAUGCCAUUUCUAAAAUAUUUA
RNAcentral lists this long non-coding RNA (880 nucleotides) under Daucus carota (carrot). RNAcentral's name for it is "long non-coding RNA (DCAR_LNC004218)". Lineage: Eukaryota; Viridiplantae; Streptophyta; Magnoliopsida; Apiales; Apiaceae. The record is from RNAcentral.